GAUUUUUCAUUUGUAAAAAUAGACUUAAAAAAUUAUCGUGUUACCAUGACAACUACUAAAAAUACUUCACGUUCGGAAAAUAAAAUGGUUUUGUUAGCAAGGCGAGGGUUUCUGCAUGCAUGUAUUUUCUAGUUAAAAAGUGGCUGACGUCUAAUUUCAAGAGUGGCUGGUGCAAAAUGUACACUACUAUAACAAACAUAAUUUAAUUAUUUAUUAAUAUCAAUAAAUUUGAACAAAUAUACUCAAGCAUUAAUUAAAUAUGAUACAGUACAUGUAUGCAGAGAUGGAUCCAGCAUGAUCUGGUGGGGGGGGGAGGGGGGGUGCUCUGGUGCCGACUGCCGAAUUGUGUUGGUCAUGUGUGCCGCCCACCCAUCAACUGCUGUAUUUGAAUUGUAAUUGUUGUUCACAGUUCACUUAUCAUCAUGUUAUUACUCAAAUUAUUGUAUCUUAUUUUGUCUUUUUUGCUUUAUCAUAAAAAAUAGCACCCCCGUGCACCCCCUCUGGCUAGGGGGUGCAACCCCCCCCCCCCAAGUAAAUCCAUCCCUGC
Molecule: non-coding RNA, 547 nt
Organism: Paramuricea clavata
Lineage: Eukaryota; Metazoa; Cnidaria; Anthozoa; Malacalcyonacea; Plexauridae
Source: the annotation of a GenBank genome assembly